Molecule: long non-coding RNA, 346 nt
Organism: Thalassophryne amazonica
Lineage: Eukaryota; Metazoa; Chordata; Actinopteri; Batrachoidiformes; Batrachoididae
Exons: 3
Source: RefSeq, a predicted model, not a curated record
UAAAAUCAGAGCUUUGAGUUUUCUGAGCCACUGAUUACUCUGUAAUCACCUGUGGCCAGAAGAGGGCGAUGGUUCAUUAAAAAUGACACCAUGAGACAAUACAAGGUGGCUUUUGCAGCAGUAGACUGGACAGUUGUUAGAAUUUGAUCAUGUAGUGGAACAACAGAGACAGAUGUCAACAAAAACAAUGCUUGGGUUUAUAUGUUUUAUAUAUUUUGAAUGUGUUUGUGGUUAAUAUGUUAUGGAGGAACUGUCCCACUCAAGUCUUCUCUCUUGCUUCCUCUCCUUUCCCUCACCGCCUUCCUCUUCAUCACUGUUGUUUGACACGGUACUUGAAAUUUCUCCC